This is a non-coding RNA of Nicotiana tabacum (common tobacco), 1941 nucleotides long. Lineage: Eukaryota; Viridiplantae; Streptophyta; Magnoliopsida; Solanales; Solanaceae. The record is from RefSeq and is a predicted model, not a curated record.
AUACCGUCGAAUGGGACUUAAAUUCUCAAAACGACCGACCGAGUCGUUACAGGGAGUUACCUAGAUGACUACAAUAGAUUAGAGGCAUACGCACAAGAAUUGAGAGAGAGCAAUGUUGGUUCUGAUGUGGUGAUAAAUAUAUCCAAGGAAGCCUUGGCAGAAGGUAAAAGAAGAUUCCUUAGGAUGUAUGUGUACUUCCAAGCUAUGAAACAUGGCUUUAAAGAUGGUUUGAGACCUUUUAUAGGGUUGGAUGGCACAUUUUUAAAAGGAAAAUGCAAGGGGCAGUUGUUGGUGGCUGUUGGACGAGAUUCUGUGAAUUAUUUCUAUCUAAUUGCUUGGGCGGUGGUGGAUAAAGAAACCAAUAGGACAUGAAGUUGGUUUGUGGAGAUGCUGAAGAUUUCAUUGGACUUGAAGGACGGUGAAUGGGUGACCUUUAUCUCAGAUAUGCAAAAGGGGUUGCUGGAUGCUACUUCUGUAGUGGUUCCUAAAGCAAAUCACAGAUUUUGUGUAAGACACAUUGAAGCUAACUGGGCAAAGAAAAACAAGAGAGGUGGGGAGAUGAGGAAGGUGUUGUGGUGGUGUGCUUGGAGCACAUAUGAUGAAGAUUUUAAGGAUCAACUAAAGAAUUUGGGUUCUUUAUCUGAACAAGCUGUCAAAGACCUAUUAUGGUAUCCACCUCAAAUUUGGUGUAGACCGUACUUUGACACAAAAUACAAGAAUAAUAUGGUGGAUAAUAAUUUCACAGAAUCCUUCAGUUCUUGAAUUCUGGAAGCCAGGUCAAAAUCUAUCAUAAAGAUGCUGGAGGAUAUUAGGAUCAAGGUAAUGAAUAUGAUCAGGGAGCAUGAAGAUGAAGCUAGAAAUUAGAAAGAAGAUAUCAGUCCACUUGCAAUGAGGUUGCUUAAGGACUACAAGCACAUUGCACAAAGGUGCAAAGUUAUAUUUAAUGGAGAUAAUGGGUAUGAAGUAACAGAGGGUGUAGAUAGGCAUACAAUUAACUUAUUGAUGAAGAGGUGUACAUAUAGGGCAUAAGACUUGUCUGGGAUCCCAUGUCCUCAUGCCAUCAAAGCACUGAUUCAUAAAAAGGUUGAUCCACUGACUGAGGUACAUUAGUGAUACUGUAAGGAGGCUUAUAUGCUGGUUUAUAAGCAUAAGGUGCAACCUGUUAGAGGUGAAAAAUUCUGUAAUGUGGAGCCACAUCAUGCCAUGGAACCAUCACCUUUAGCUAAAAUGGUUGGUAGACCAAGGGUGAAGAGAACAAGAGAAAAGGCGAGGCUAGGAAAAGGGAGGGGAUAUGGUCAGCUUCAAGAAAAGGGCUUCACAUGACAUGCGGUUAUUGUAGUUCACCAAGACAUAACAUCAGAAGAUGUCCAAUAGUCAAAGGAAAGCACAAUCUAUCUUAUGAAGAAACUUCUCAAUCACUAGAAGUUAUUCAUAUGACAGCACCUCAAGAUUCCCAAGAUUCAGAAUUUGUGUUCAUUCAUGUUCCUGGAUUAAAUAUAUCUUAUCAAUAUUCCAGUCACUCAAGUCAACAUGAAUCUGAUUCGACCUUUCAGUCUGAAGCUAACACACAAUUUUAUGAUGUUGACAAGAUUGGGUGUGAAUCUGAUCCAACUCUAAUGCCCAAGGUGAUUUCUGAAGCUAACACUAGGCUUAAACAAAGGCAACUGCUGCAAAAUCCUACUGGUACCAGGAAGAUCAAUUUCAUGGGAGAUGAAAAUGAUUUAUAUUUACCCUCUGAUCUGUCAUAUUCCCCAAGAAAGAUCACUUGGGAAGGAAAAUCAGCAAUGACCUCAAACCAAUUGGUAGAAAAAAAGGAAAGAAGAAUUACAAAACUGAAAGCUAAAAGGGCCAUGCUUUAGGACAAUUAGAAGUUAAAUUAUUUUGCUGGUUGCGAUGAUGUUAUGUAAUAUCAAUAGACUUAUAGACAUGUAAACUGAUUAU